RNAcentral lists this ribosomal RNA (477 nucleotides) under uncultured bacterium. RNAcentral's name for it is "partial 16S ribosomal RNA". It matches the Rfam family "Bacterial small subunit ribosomal RNA", at positions 28 to 507 of the family's 1533-position model. The record is from RNAcentral.
GACGAACGCUGGCGGCGUGCCUAACACAUGCAAGUCGAACGAAGCACCUCACCUGAUUCUUCGGGUGCAAGUUUGGAAACUGAGUGUCGGACGGGAGAGUAACGCGCGGGAAAUUUGCCCUGCACAGGGGGAUAACAGCUGGAAACGGCUGCUAAUACCGCAUAAGCGCACGAGGAGAGAUAUCCUUGUGUGAAAAAGUUCGGCGGUACAGGAUGGGCCCGCGUCUGAUUAGCUGGUUGGAAGGGUAACGGCCUACCAAGGCAACGAUCAGUAGCCGGCCUGAGAGGAUGAACGGCCACAUUUGAACUGAGACACAGUCCAAACUCCUACGGGAGGCAGCAGUGGGGAAUAUUGCACAAUGGGGGAAACCCUGAUGCAGCAACGCCGCGUGAGUGAAGAAGUAGUUCGGUAUGUAAAGCUCUAUCAGCAGGGAAGAUAAUGACGGUACCUGACUAAGAAGCACCGGCUAAAUACGUG